CCUACGGGAGGCAGCAGUGAGGAAUAUUUGUCAAUGGGAGAGAUCCUGAACCAGCCAAGCCGCGUGAGGGAAGACGGCCCUAUGGGUUGUAAACCUCUUUUGUCGGAGAACAAAACCCGGGACGUGUCCCGGACUGCGUGUAUCCGAAGAAAAAGCAUCGGCUAACUCCGUGCCAGCAGCCGCGGUAAUACGGAGGAUGCGAGCGUUAUCCGGAUUUAUUGGGUUUAAAGGGUGCGCAGGCGGAAUGUCAAGUCAGCGGUAAAAUUUCGGGGCUCAACCCCGUCGUGCCGUUGAAACUGGCGUUCUAGAGUGAGCGAGAAGUAUGCGGAAUGCGUGGUGUAGCGGUGAAAUGCAUAGAUAUCAAGCAGAACUCUGAUUGCGAAGGCAGCAUACCGGCGCUCAACUGACGCUCAUGCACGAAAGCGUGGGUAUCGAACAGGAUUAGAUACCCUUGUAGUC
Molecule: ribosomal RNA, 459 nt
Filed under: uncultured bacterium
Lineage: Bacteria
Description: partial 16S ribosomal RNA
Rfam family: Bacterial small subunit ribosomal RNA
Source: RNAcentral